AGUCGUAACAAGGUCUCCGUAGGUGAACCUGCGGAGGGAUCAUUACACAAAUAUGAAGGCGGGCUGGAACCUCUCGGGGUUACAGCCUUGCUGAAUUAUUCACCCUUGUCUUUUGCGUACUUCUUGUUUCCUUGGUGGGUUCGCCCACCACUAGGACAAACAUAAACCUUUUGUAAUUGCAAUCAGCGUCAGUAACAAAUUAAUAAUUACAACUUUCAACAACGGAUCUCUUGGUUCUGGCAUCGAUGAAGAACGCAGCGAAAUGCGAUAAGUAGUGUGAAUUGCAGAAUUCAGUGAAUCAUCGAAUCUUUGAACGCACAUUGCGCCCUUUGGUAUUCCAAAGGGCAUGCCUGUUCGAGCGUCAUUUGUACCCUCAAGCUUUGCUUGGUGUUGGGCGUCUUGUCUCUAGCUUUGCUGGAGACUCGCCUUAAAGUAAUUGGCAGCCGGCCUACUGGUUUCGGAGCGCAGCACAAGUCGCACUCUCUAUCAGCAAAGGUCUAGCAUCCAUUAAGCCUUUUUUUUUCAACUUUUGACCUCGGAUCAGGUAGGGAUACCCGCUGAACUUA
Molecule: ribosomal RNA, 566 nt
Filed under: uncultured fungus
Lineage: Eukaryota; Fungi
Description: eukaryotic LSU rRNA
Rfam family: 5.8S ribosomal RNA (bases 211-364)
Source: RNAcentral